UCAUAAAUGUGAGUUUAUUCUUACAAAUAGUACUAUGCAGCUUAAUGAUUUUAUUUUUGUUAUUUUAGAAA
This 71-nucleotide transfer RNA is filed under the name Sieboldius albardae. Its description in RNAcentral is "tRNA-Val". Lineage: Eukaryota; Metazoa; Arthropoda; Insecta; Odonata; Gomphidae. The record is from RNAcentral.